This 432-nucleotide ribosomal RNA is filed under the name uncultured bacterium. RNAcentral's name for it is "bacterial SSU rRNA". It matches the Rfam family "Bacterial small subunit ribosomal RNA", at positions 354 to 796 of the family's 1533-position model. The record is from RNAcentral.
GUGGGGAAUAUUGCACAAUGGGCGCAAGCCUGAUGCAGCGACGCCGCGUGCGGGAUGACGGCCUUCGGGUUGUAAACCGCUUUUGAUCGGGAGCAAGCCUUCGGGUGAGUGUACCUUUCGAAUAAGCACCGGCUAACUACGUGCCAGCAGCCGCGGUAAUACGUAGGGUGCAAGCGUUAUCCGGAAUUAUUGGGCGUAAAGGGCUCGUAGGCGGUUCGUCGCGUCCGGUGUGAAAGUCCAUCGCUUAACGGUGGAUCUGCGCCGGGUACGGGCGGGCUGGAGUGCGGUAGGGGAGACUGGAAUUCCCGGUGUAACGGUGGAAUGUGUAGAUAUCGGGAAGAACACCAAUGGCGAAGGCAGGUCUCUGGGCCGUUACUGACGCUGAGGAGCGAAAGCGUGGGGAGCGAACAGGAUUAGAAACCCCAGUAGUCC